Molecule: ribosomal RNA, 1103 nt
Filed under: Acinetobacter sp. AA64
Lineage: Bacteria; Pseudomonadati; Pseudomonadota; Gammaproteobacteria; Moraxellales; Moraxellaceae
Description: bacterial SSU rRNA
Rfam family: Bacterial small subunit ribosomal RNA
Source: RNAcentral
UUAGCUUAGCGGCGGACGGGUGAGUAAUGCUUAGGAAUCUGCCUAUUAGUGGGGGACAACAUUCCGAAAGGAAUGCUAAUACCGCAUACGCCCUACGGGGGAAAGCAGGGGAUCUUCGGACCUUGCGCUAAUAGAUGAGCCUAAGUCGGAUUAGCUAGUUGGUGGGGUAAAGGCCUACCAAGGCGACGAUCUGUAGCGGGUCUGAGAGGAUGAUCCGCCACACUGGGACUGAGACACGGCCCAGACUCCUACGGGAGGCAGCAGUGGGGAAUAUUGGACAAUGGGCGGAAGCCUGAUCCAGCCAUGCCGCGUGUGUGAAGAAGGCCUUUUGGUUGUAAAGCACUUUAAGCGAGGAGGAGGCUCUUAAGGUUAAUACCCUUGAUGAGUGGACGUUACUCGCAGAAUAAGCACCGGCUAACUCUGUGCCAGCAGCCGCGGUAAUACAGAGGGUGCGAGCGUUAAUCGGAUUUACUGGGCGUAAAGCGUGCGUAGGCGGCUGAUUAAGUCGGAUGUGAAAUCCCUGAGCUUAACUUAGGAAUUGCAUUCGAUACUGGUCAGCUAGAGUAUGGGAGAGGAUGGUAGAAUUCCAGGUGUAGCGGUGAAAUGCGUAGAGAUCUGGAGGAAUACCGAUGGCGAAGGCAGCNAUCUGGCCUAAUACUGACGCUGAGGUACGAAAGCAUGGGGAGCAAACAGGAUUAGAUACCCUGGUAGUCCAUGCCGUAAACGAUGUCUACUAGCCGUUGGGGCCUUUGAGGCUUUAGUGGCGCAGCUAACGCGAUAAGUAGACCGCCUGGGGAGUACGGUCGCAAGACUAAAACUCAAAUGAAUUGACGGGGGCCCGCACAAGCGGUGGAGCAUGUGGUUUAAUUCGAUGCAACGCGAAGAACCUUACCUGGUCUUGACAUAGUAAGAACUUUCCAGAGAUGGAUUGGUGCCUUCGGGAACUUACAUACAGGUGCUGCAUGGCUGUCGUCAGCUCGUGUCGUGAGAUGUUGGGUUAAGUCCCGCAACGAGCGCAACCCUUUUCCUUAUUUGCCAGCACUUCGGGUGGGAACUUUAAGGAUACUGCCAGUGACAAACUGGAGGAAGGCGGGGACGACGUC